GCCAUCCCGCGUGUAUGAUGAAGGCCUUCGGGUUGUAAAGUACUUUUGGCAGAGAAGAAAAGGUAUCCCCUAAUACGGGAUACUGCUGACGGUAUCUGCAGAAUAAGCACCGGCUAACUACGUGCCAGCAGCCGCGGUAAUACGUAGGGUGCAAGCGUUAAUCGGAAUUACUGGGCGUAAAGCGUGUGUAGGCGGUUCGGAAAGAAAGAUGUGAAAUCCCAGGGCUCAACCUUGGAACUGCAUUUUUAACUGCCGAGCUAGAGUAUGUCAGAGGGGGGUAGAAUUCCACGUGUAGCAGUGAAAUGCGUAGAUAUGUGGAGGAAUACCGAUGGCGAAGGCAGCCCCCUGGGAUAAUACUGACGCUCAGACACGAAAGCGUGGGGAGCAAACAGGAUUAGAUACCCUGGUAGUCCACGCCCUAAACGAUGUCAACUAGCUGUUGGGGCCGUUAGGCCUUAGUAGCGCAGCUAACGCGUGAAGUUGACCGCCUGGGGAGUACGGUCGCAAGAUUAAAACUCAA
Molecule: ribosomal RNA, 520 nt
Filed under: Alcaligenes faecalis
Lineage: Bacteria; Pseudomonadati; Pseudomonadota; Betaproteobacteria; Burkholderiales; Alcaligenaceae
Description: bacterial SSU rRNA
Rfam family: Bacterial small subunit ribosomal RNA
Source: RNAcentral